CAGCGCCGUGCCCGCCGAGUCCGCCGACAAUAGAAGGUAUGCGAACACCUGGUCAUGGCCGAAGUCGAACCAGACUUGGAGGACUUCAGGGAACAAAGUGGCGCCUCUGGAAAUUUCCCAGACGGAGGCGGCCAUUUCGAAGAGAGAGUAAAGACUGACGAUUGCAUUUGCAGCGAAAACGUAUCUGAAGGCGUCGAAAUCGUACCAAUGAGGGGAACCGUAUCCUCUGGAGUUAGUGAGAGUGAAGACAACGGAGGCGAGAGAAAAGCAAAACGUAGCGAGUCGGAACAGGAGAAUCAGUGAGUUGAAUCUUUUCAGCUUCUGUAGGGAUACAGUGGAGUGGAAGUGUGGAUCCUCGAUCCGCGGGUGGGGCGACGGAGUAUCGCCGUUACGGAGGGACUGUGUAGACCGCAUGAUCCUUGAUGGUGGUGAUAGUAAUUUUGAAGUAGAAAAGUGGAAAAGGAAUGAAAAGAAGUACUCAUGAGAGGAGAAGAGUUGAAAGGGUAGAGAGAGAGAGAGUGGAGAUUGAGAC
This 532-nucleotide unclassified non-coding RNA is filed under the name Hevea brasiliensis (rubber tree). Lineage: Eukaryota; Viridiplantae; Streptophyta; Magnoliopsida; Malpighiales; Euphorbiaceae. The record is from RNAcentral.